GGUGCUGUGGCGCAGCAGGUUAAUGCCCUGGCCUGAAGCGCCAGCAUCCCAUAUGGGCGCUGGGUUCGAGACCCAGUUGCUCCA
This 84-nucleotide transfer RNA is filed under the name Oryctolagus cuniculus (rabbit). It matches the Rfam family "tRNA". From Rfam's summary of the family: Transfer RNA (tRNA) molecules are approximately 80 nucleotides in length. Their secondary structure includes four short double-helical elements and three loops (D, anti-codon, and T loops). Lineage: Eukaryota; Metazoa; Chordata; Mammalia; Lagomorpha; Leporidae. The record is from Rfam by way of RNAcentral.